GUUAAGUUUUAUUCUUGCUUUAUUCGUUCAAUUUUUGUUUGUUUUAUAUGUAAGUUUUUGCGUGUAUCUUUCUUUUUCUCUAGAUGGGGCUAGAUUUGAUUUAGGUUAAUUAAUUCUCAUUAGUUAUUAUUGGAUGUUCAAGUAUUCUUGUAUUUAGCAAUUCUUUCUUGCUUCGGUUAAAUUUUGUGCCAGCAGCCGCGGUUAUACCUUGGAGGCGUUUGAAUGUGUUCGGUGUUGUAGUUAUAUGUUUAUUUUGAUUGGUUUUAUUUUGUUUAUUUAUUAGGUGAAAUUUUUAUUUUUAUUUUAUUCCUUUUGAUUGUUUGGAGGCUAUGAAAUUCCUUUUAUAGACUAGGAUUAGAUACCCUAUUAUUUUGGGAUGUUAAUUUUUGUGUCUGAGUAGUAUUAGUUAUGUUCUUGAAACUUAAAGAAUUUGGCGGUAUCUUAUUCCAUCCAGAGGAAUCUGCCCCGUUAUCGAUAGUCCGCGUUGGACCUUACUUAGUUGCUUUGGUUUGUAUACCGCCGUUUAUUGAUUAUCUUUUUAGAGUUUUAAUUUUCUGGUUUCUUUAUUUUGAUUUAUUUCAGGUCAAGGUGCAGCUUGUUUCUAAGUGGAAUGGUGGAUUACAUUGAUAUUCGUUUAUUGGAUUAUUGAUUUUAAUAUUGGUAUGAAAUUGGAUUUGGUUGUAAUGUUUUAUAGAUUGUUUUCAUGAUAAUUGGUUCUGGGAUAUGUACACAUCGCCCGUCGCUCUCGUUUUAUUGUUAAUGAGAUAAGUCGUAACAAAGUGGUUGUACCGGAAGGUGCGGCUGGAUUGAU
This 811-nucleotide non-coding RNA is filed under the name Anoplotermes sp. E1 TB-2017. The record is from RNAcentral. Lineage: Eukaryota; Metazoa; Arthropoda; Insecta; Blattodea; Termitidae.